Molecule: ribosomal RNA, 497 nt
Filed under: uncultured bacterium
Lineage: Bacteria
Description: partial 16S ribosomal RNA
Rfam family: Bacterial small subunit ribosomal RNA
Source: RNAcentral
GAUGAACGCUGGCGGCGUGCCUAAUACAUGCAAGUCGAGCGAACAGACGAGGAGCUUGCUCCUCUGACGUUAGCGGCGGACGGGUGAGUAACACGUGGAUAACCUACCUAUAAUACUGGGAUAACUUCGGGAAACCGGAGCUAAUACCGGAUAAUAUAUUGAACCGCAUGGUUCAAUAGUGAAAGACGGUUUUGCUGUCACUUAUAGAUGGAUCCGCGCCGCAUUAGCUAGUUGGUAAGGUAACGGCUUACCAAGGCAACGAUGCGUAGCCGACCUGAGAGGGUGAUCGGCCACACUGGAACUGAGACACGGUCCAGACUCCUACGGGAGGCAGCAGUAGGGAAUCUGCCGCAAUGGGCGAAAGCCUGACGGAGCAACGCCGCGUGAGUGAUGAAGGUCUUCGGAUCGUAAAACUCUGUUAUUAGGGAAGAACAAAUGUGUAAGUAACUAUGCACGUCUUGACGGUACCUAAUCAGAAAGCCACGGCUAACUACGUG